Molecule: microRNA precursor, 89 nt
Organism: Medicago truncatula (barrel medic)
Lineage: Eukaryota; Viridiplantae; Streptophyta; Magnoliopsida; Fabales; Fabaceae
Rfam family: MIR2617 microRNA precursor family
Source: Rfam
AUGUGAUGUGACAUGCCCGUUUGGGGUUUUACUCUGAUAUUGAAUUAUUAUUAUUUAAUUGAUUUUGGGAAACGGGGUGUUACACGAUU